ACCAUGUUUUCUUUAGCUCUGCUGCUGCUGUUGGCAGCUGGAUGUGUGAAGUGUGAACAGUUGACACAGCCAGCCUCUGUGACUGUGCAGCCAGGUCAACGUCUGACCAUCACCUGUCAGGUCUCUUAUUCUCUUAGCAGCUACUGGACAGCUUGGAUCAGACAGCCUGCAGGGAAAGGACUGGAGUGGAUUGGAAGCGGAGCUGGAUCCAGCACAUCCUACAAAGAUUCCCUAAAGAACAAGUUCAGUAUCUCCUUAGACUCUUCCAGCAACAGAGUGACUCUAAACGGACAGAAUGUGCAGCCUGAAGACACUGCUGUGUAUUACUGUGCCAGAGAUCCACAGUGAGAGACAAUAAUGUGAGAGUCAUACAAAAAGUACUUCCUCUUUUUACCACCACCACAAUCGACAUUUACUUGC
Non-coding RNA from Micropterus salmoides (largemouth bass), 420 nucleotides. The record is from the annotation of a RefSeq genome assembly. NCBI's taxonomy places the organism in Eukaryota, Metazoa, Chordata, Actinopteri, Centrarchiformes, Centrarchidae.